AUCUCUGGCUUCCUAGGACGCCAAUAAAAACUCUCGACACCUAAGCAAUAAUUCCCAACAGUCUUUUCUUUUUGGCCGAAGAGCGCAGGGAAUAAGACCAGAUGCAAAGGCCUCCUGUCUAGGUGACCAUGUUUGCACGAGGGCUGCUAAGGAUACAGAGCGCGUCAUCCCUGAUGCACUGCACAGCACGUGUUGCUUGGCAAUAGGUGACUCCGCUGGCAUGGCUUCCUCACGGACACGAGGUUGAACUUUGAAAACUCCAAGCAAAACAUAAAUGACAGCUUUUAAAAAGUAUAAUUGAUAGUAAAAGCUAUAUGACUUCAUAAACUUGGACAUAUAAACGAACAUCUGUGUUAAAUCAUACAAAUCAAGGUAAGAGACACACCUAUCACCU
This 394-nucleotide long non-coding RNA is filed under the name Sus scrofa (pig). Its description in RNAcentral is "lncRNA (ENSSSCG00065042561.1)". Lineage: Eukaryota; Metazoa; Chordata; Mammalia; Artiodactyla; Suidae. The record is from RNAcentral.